UUUUUUUUGUGUUUUGUU
This 18-nucleotide small RNA is filed under the name Arabidopsis thaliana (thale cress). RNAcentral's name for it is "ATSL127520". Lineage: Eukaryota; Viridiplantae; Streptophyta; Magnoliopsida; Brassicales; Brassicaceae. The record is from RNAcentral.